RNAcentral lists this ribosomal RNA (478 nucleotides) under uncultured bacterium. Its description in RNAcentral is "bacterial SSU rRNA". It matches the Rfam family "Bacterial small subunit ribosomal RNA", at positions 364 to 832 of the family's 1533-position model. The record is from RNAcentral.
UUUCGCAAUGCCCGAAAGGGUGACGAAGCGACGCCGCGUGGGUGAGGAAGGCCCUCGGGUUGUAAAGCCCUGUCGGGAGUUAAGAAAUGUAGAUUCGCUAAUAUCGGGUCUAUUUGACGAAGGCUCCAAAGGAAGCCACGGCUAACUCUGUGCCAGCAGCCGCGGUAAUACAGAGGUGGCAAGCGUUGUCCGGAAUUAUUGGGCGUAAAGAGCACGUAGGUGGAUUUGUAAGUCAGAUGUGAAAGCCUUCUGUUCAACGGGGGAAUUGCAUCUGAAACUACAGACCUUGAGUAUAGGAGGGGAGAAUGGAACUUCUGGUGGAGCGGUGAAAUGUGUAGAUAUCAGAAGGAACGCCGGCGGCGAAAGCGAUUCUCUGGCCUAUUACUGACACUCAGUGUGCGAAAGCUAGGGGAGCAAACGGGAUUAGAUACCCCGGUAGUCCUAGCCGUAAACGAUGGGCACUAAGUAGAGGGUUUUA